Molecule: ribosomal RNA, 423 nt
Filed under: uncultured bacterium
Lineage: Bacteria
Description: bacterial SSU rRNA
Rfam family: Bacterial small subunit ribosomal RNA
Source: RNAcentral
GGAAUAUUGGACGAUGGGCGCAAGCCUGAUCCAGCCAUGCCGCGUGUGUGAAGAAGGCCUUCGGGUUGUAAAGCACUUUUGUACGGGAAGAAAAGCACUCGGUUAAUACCCGGGUGUCAUGACGGUACCGUAAGCAUAAGCACCGGCUAACUUCGUGCCACCAGCCGCGGUAAUACGAAGGGUGCAAGCGUUACCCGGAAUUACUGGGCGUAAAGCGUGCGUAGGUGGUUUGUUAAGUCUGAUGUGAAAGCCCUGGGCUCAACCUGGGAAUUGCAUUCGAGACUGUGUUGCUGGAGUACGGAAGAGGAGGGCGGAAUUCCCGGUGUAGCGGUGAAAUGCGUAGAUAUCGGGAGGAACAUCAGUGGCGAAGGCGGCCCUCUGGUCCAGUACUGACACUCAAGUGCGAAAGCGUGGGGAGCAAAC